RNAcentral lists this long non-coding RNA (407 nucleotides) under Hordeum vulgare. RNAcentral's name for it is "long non-coding RNA (HVUL_LNC006819)". The record is from RNAcentral. Lineage: Eukaryota; Viridiplantae; Streptophyta; Magnoliopsida; Poales; Poaceae.
AGUUCAUGUAGAACCAGCGCAAAUCGUAUCUGCUCUGAAUCUUCCACUAAGUAACAAAGAUAACCGAAUGAACUGUACGCAAGAACACAACUCUAUUAUUUUUCAGUGUUCUACAAUUAAAAGUAAUAAAAUGCACCCCCUACCAUCAGUAACAUUUACCAGAGCACAACUUUGACCACAAUAGGACUAAAGGCUCAACUUAUAUAGCAGCUGCUGGCUUCUUCUUCGAUGGUGGAUUCCCCCUGGCAAGCAACACAUACGAGUAGAAGCAGAUCAUCAAGGCAUUGGCGACAAGGGAAGUUGUAAGGAGGAAAGAAGUGUGCAAUGAGCAGCUGAAACACGAUAAAGAGACAAUCGAGAACUACCUGAGAGCAGUAUAGAAGCCCCAGGGAAGCAGCUUCUUUGUU